This 458-nucleotide ribosomal RNA is filed under the name uncultured bacterium. RNAcentral's name for it is "partial 16S ribosomal RNA". It matches the Rfam family "Bacterial small subunit ribosomal RNA", at positions 338 to 795 of the family's 1533-position model. The record is from RNAcentral.
CCUACGGGUGGCAGCAGUGAGGAAUAUUGGUCAAUGGGCGAGAGCCUGAACCAGCCAAGUCGCGUGAGGGAGUACUGCCCUAUGGAUUGUAAACCUCUUUUGUCGGGGAGCAAAAGCCGGACGUGUCCGGCUGUGAGAGUACCCGAAGAAAAAGCAUCGGCUAACUCCGUGCCAGCAGCCGCGGUAAUACGGAGGAUGCGGACGUUAUCCUGAUUUAUUGGGUUUAAAGGGUGCGCAGGCGGGUUUUUAAGUCAGCGGUAAAAUCGUGGGGCUCAACCCCAUGCAGCCGUUGAAACUGGGGAUCUAGAGUGUGCUAGAGGCAGGCGGAAUGCGUGGUGUAGCGGUGAAAUGCAUAGAUAUCACGCAGAACCCCGAUUGCGAAGGCAGCAUACCGGUGCACAACUGACGCUCAGGCACGAAAGCGUGGGUAUCGAACAGGAUUAGAUACCCUAGUAGUC